GCUGGAUUAGUUAAGUGGGAUAACUUCCGGCCUGUACCCGGACGUCAUGGGUUCGAUUCCCUUAUCCAGCUCC
This 73-nucleotide transfer RNA is filed under the name Mycobacteroides abscessus subsp. abscessus. Its description in RNAcentral is "tRNA-Thr(tgt)". It matches the Rfam family "tRNA". Rfam says of the family: Transfer RNA (tRNA) molecules are approximately 80 nucleotides in length. Their secondary structure includes four short double-helical elements and three loops (D, anti-codon, and T loops). Lineage: Bacteria; Bacillati; Actinomycetota; Actinomycetes; Mycobacteriales; Mycobacteriaceae. The record is from RNAcentral.